AUUGAACGCUGGCGGCAUGCCUUACACAUGCAAGUCGAACGGCAGCACGGGAGCUUGCUCCUGGUGGCGAGUGGCGAACGGGUGAGUAAUACAUCGGAACGUACCCUGAAGUGGGGGAUAACGUAGCGAAAGUUACGCUAAUACCGCAUAUUCUGUGAGCAGGAAAGAGGGGGAUCGCAAGACCUCUUGCUUUAGGAGCGGCCGAUGUCGGAUUAGCUAGUUGGUGAGGUAAAGGCUCACCAAGGCGACGAUCCGUAGCGGGUCUGAGAGGAUGAUCCGCCACACUGGGACUGAGACACGGCCCAGACUCCUACGGGAGGCAGCAGUGGGGAAUUUUGGACAAUGGGCGCAAGCCUGAUCCAGCCAUGCCGCGUGAGUGAAGAAGGCCUUCGGGUUGUAAGCUCUUCGUGGGAGAAUGGCACGGGUUAAUACCCUGUGUUGAUGACGGUACCCGCAUAAGAAGCACCGGCUAACUACGUGCCAGCAGCCGCGGUAA
RNAcentral lists this ribosomal RNA (496 nucleotides) under uncultured bacterium. Its description in RNAcentral is "bacterial SSU rRNA". It matches the Rfam family "Bacterial small subunit ribosomal RNA", at positions 30 to 523 of the family's 1533-position model. The record is from RNAcentral.